AGUGAACGCUGGCGGUAGGCCUAACACAUGCAAGUCGAACGGCAGCACAGUAGGAGCUUGCUCUUACGGGUGUCGCGUGGCGGACGGGUGCGGAAUACAUCGGAAUAUACUUUUUCGUGGGGGAUAACGUAGGGAAACUUCCGCUAAUACCGCAUACGACCUACGGGUGACAGCAGGGGAUCUUCUGACCUUGCGCGAUUGAAUGAGCCGGUGUCGGAGUAGCUAGAUGGCGGGGUAAAGGCCCACCAAGGCGGCGAUCCGUACCUGGCCUGAGAGGAAGAUCAGCUACACGGUAUCUGAGACAGGGUCCAGACUCCGACGGUGGGCAGCAGUGGGGAAUAUUAGGCGAUGGGGGCGAGCCUGAUCCAGCGAUAUCGCGUGGGGGCAGAAGGCCUUCGGGUGGUAGAGUCCUGUUGUUGUUAAAGAUGUGCAGCUGUUUAACACCCCGCGGUUCUGACGGUACCCAAAGAAUAAGCACCGGCUAACUUCGUG
RNAcentral lists this ribosomal RNA (492 nucleotides) under uncultured bacterium. RNAcentral's name for it is "partial 16S ribosomal RNA". It matches the Rfam family "Bacterial small subunit ribosomal RNA", at positions 29 to 507 of the family's 1533-position model. The record is from RNAcentral.